GGGAGUAAAAGUCGUAACAAGGGCUCCGUUGGUGAACCAGCGGAGGGAUCAUUAAUGGAAUCGCAAGAUCCCACAACCCUCGUGAACCUACCGAAACGUUGCCUCGGCGGGCGCCCGGCCUUGCGCCGGGCGUUGUGCCCGCCGGUGGCCCACUACUCUGUCUCUGCAGCGUGGCAUCUCCGAGUAUACAAAAACAAGUAAAAACUUUUAACAACGGAUCUCUUGGCUCUA
This 231-nucleotide unclassified non-coding RNA is filed under the name plant metagenome. Its description in RNAcentral is "partial contains small subunit ribosomal RNA, internal transcribed spacer 1, and 5.8S ribosomal RNA". The stretch from base 1 to 54 matches the Rfam family "Eukaryotic small subunit ribosomal RNA", at positions 1778 to 1831 of the family's 1831-position model. The record is from RNAcentral.